This 492-nucleotide ribosomal RNA is filed under the name uncultured bacterium. RNAcentral's name for it is "partial 16S ribosomal RNA". It matches the Rfam family "Bacterial small subunit ribosomal RNA", at positions 29 to 507 of the family's 1533-position model. The record is from RNAcentral.
AGUGAACGCUGGCGGUAGGCCUAACACAUGCAAGUCGAACGGCAGCACAGUAAGAGCUUGCUCUUACGGGUGGCGAGUGGCGGACGGGUGAGGAAUACAUCGGAAUCUACUUUUUCGUGGGGGCUAACGUAGGGAAACUUACGCUAAUACCGCAUACGACCUACGGGUGAAAGCAGGGGAUCUUCGGACCUUGCGCGAUUGACUGAGCCGAUGUCGGAUUAGCUAGUUGGCGGGGUAAAGGCCCACCAAGGCGACGAUCCGUAGCUGGUCUGAGAGGAUGAUCAGCCACACUGGAACUGAGACACGGUCCAGACUCCUACGGGAGGCAGCAGUGGGGAAUAUUGGACAAUGGGCGCAAGCCUGAUCCAGCCAUACCGCGUGUGUGAAGAAGGCCUUCGGGUUGUAAAGCCCUUUUGUUGGGAAAGAAAAGCAGCAGGUUAAUACCCCGCUGUUCUGACGGUACCCAAAGAAUAAGCACCGGCUAACUUCGUG